UAGGCGAUGGAUAACAGGUUGAUAUUCCUGUACCACCUAUAAUCGUUUUAAUCGAUGGGGGACGCAGUAGGAUAGGCGAAGCGUGCGAUUGGAUUGCACGUCUAAGCAGUAAGGCUGAGUAUUAGGCAAAUCCGGUACUCGUUAAGGCUGAGCUGUGAUGGGGAGAAGACAUUGUGUCUUCGAGUCGUUGAUUUCACACUGCCGAGAAAAGCCUCUAGAUAGAAAAUAGGUGCCCGUACCGCAAACCGACACAGGUAGUCAAGAUGAGAAUUCUAAGGUGAGCGAGCGAACUCUCGUUAAGGAACUCGGCAAAAUGACCCGUAACUUCGGGAGGGGGUGCUCUUUAGGGUUAACGCCCAGAAGAGCCGCAGUGAAUAGGCCCAAGCGACUGUUUAUCAAAAACACAGGUCUCUGCUAAACCGUAAGGUGAUGUAUAGGGCUGACGCCUGCCCGGUGCUGGAAGGUUAAGAGGAGUGGUUAGCUUCUGCGAAGCUACGAAUCGAAGCCCCAGUAAACGGCGGCCGUAACUAUAACGUCCUAAGGUAGCGAAAUUCCUUGUCGGGUAAGUUCCGACCCGCACGAAAGGCGUAACGAUUUGGCACUGUCUCAACGAGAGACUCGGUGAAAUCAUAGUACCUGUGAAGAUGCAGGUUACCCGCGACAGGACGGAAAGACCCCGUGGAGCUUUACUGUAGCCUGAUAUUGAAAUUCGGCACAGCUUGUACAGGAUAGGUAGGAGCCUUUGAAACGUGAGCGCUAGCUUACGUGGAGGCGCUGGUGGGAUACUACCCUAGCUGUGUUGGCUUUCUAACCCGCACCACUUAUCGUGGUGGGAGACAGUGUCAGGCGGCAGUUUGACUGGGCGGUCGCCUCCUAAAAGGUAACGGAGGCGCUCAAAGGUUCCCUCAGAAUGGUUGGAAAUCAUUCAUAGAGUGUAAAGGCAUAAGGGAGCUUGACUGCGAGACCUACAAGUCGAGCAGGGUCGAAAGACGGACUUAGUGAUCCGGUGGUUCCGCAUGGAAGGGCCAUCGCUCAACGGAUAAAAGCUACCCCGGGGAUAACAGGCUUAUCUCCCCCAAGAGUUCACAUCGACGGGGAGGUUUGGCACCUCGAUGUCGGCUCAUCGCAUCCUGGGGCUGUAGUCGGUCCCAAGGGUUGGGCUGUUCGCCCAUUAAAGCGGUACGCGAGCUGGGUUCAGAACGUCGUGAGACAGUUCGGUCCCUAUCCGUCGUGGGCGUAGGAAAUUUGAGAGGAGCUGUCCUUAGUACGAGAGGACCGGGAUGGACAUACCUCUGGUGUACCAGUUGUCGUGCCAACGGCAUAGCUGGGUAGCUAUGUGUGGACGGGAUAAGUGCUGAAAGCAUCUAAGCAUGAAGCCCCCUCAAGAUGAGAUUUCCCAACUUCGGUUAUAAGAUCCCUCAAAGAUGAUGAGGUUAAUAGGUUCGAGGUGGAAGCAUGGUGACAUGUGGAGCUGACGAAUACUAAUCGAUCGAAGACUUAAUCA
Molecule: ribosomal RNA, 1504 nt
Filed under: Staphylococcus aureus
Lineage: Bacteria; Bacillati; Bacillota; Bacilli; Caryophanales; Staphylococcaceae
Description: bacterial LSU rRNA
Rfam family: Bacterial large subunit ribosomal RNA
Source: RNAcentral